RNAcentral lists this ribosomal RNA (253 nucleotides) under uncultured bacterium. RNAcentral's name for it is "partial 16S ribosomal RNA". It matches the Rfam family "Bacterial small subunit ribosomal RNA", at positions 524 to 776 of the family's 1533-position model. The record is from RNAcentral.
UACGUAGGAUGCAAGCGUUGUCCGGAAUUAUUGGGCGUAAAGAGCGCGCAGGCGGUAACUCAAGUCAGAUGUGAAAUAUCCGGGCUUAACCCGGAGGGGUCAUUUGAAACUGAGUAACUAGAGUACAGCAGAGGAUAGCGGAAUUCCCGGUGUAGUGAUGAAAUGCGUAGAUAUCGGGAGGAACACCAGUGGCGAAGGCGGCCUUCUGGACAGUGACUGACGCUGAGACGCGAAAGCGUGGGGAGCAAACAGG